GUCUAACUGACGAGUCCCGAAUAGGACGGUACGCGCGUUCUGGAU
Molecule: non-coding RNA, 45 nt
Filed under: Schistosoma mattheei
Lineage: Eukaryota; Metazoa; Platyhelminthes; Trematoda; Strigeidida; Schistosomatidae
Source: RNAcentral